Molecule: non-coding RNA, 1820 nt
Organism: Ictidomys tridecemlineatus (thirteen-lined ground squirrel)
Lineage: Eukaryota; Metazoa; Chordata; Mammalia; Rodentia; Sciuridae
Source: RefSeq, a predicted model, not a curated record
GUCAACUUGUAUUUUGUGUAUGCAGAAUACGUGGUUAAAAAUAAUGGAGAACGCAAGAGAUCACUUUUUACUGCAACACACAAUUUACCGGGGAGAUGAACUGCUCGUGCAGAGAUGAUUGGCAUCCCACAGUGUUUAAGAGGCUAUUCAGCACACUUGAGCUCAGUGCCAUAGCAACAGGAGGUGGCUACGAAAUGAUCACAGCAUUUCGGUCUGUGUACCACAGUCAACUUCCUGCCACGAUGAUGUAGUGCCGCAUCUUUGUGUUUGCUUACAUUUCUCUCAGCUGUGAAUGGUGCCGUGGGUGGUCUAUGCUGUGGCUCACUGGGGCUCCAAAGCAGUCUUCUCAAAAUGGGUCCUUGCUUUUCAUUUAGUAGAGCCUCUAAGAAAGUAUGGCUUUGCCCCCAGGGAGAAUUGAGUUUCAAUCCAAGCUCCCAACCUGCUGGAAGACCCUAGGCAAGAUGGCCACCUCGUGGGCACAUCGUGUCCAACAGCCUGUCUUCGGUGGCAUGAGCAGACAGAGACGACCACUGGCCAGACCCAUGAAUUCCCUGGGGUGUACGAGAAUGUGGCCGUCUCCCCUGCCCUCUGCAUUUAUUAGCUGAGAUCCUCCAUUCAGAGAAGAAUCAAUGACCCAAAUGUAGGAGACAAUGCUGUUCAGUCCUAAAAAGGAAUGAAGUUCUUCUGAUCCCUGCUUUAACAUGGGUAAAUCUGAAAACCACGUGAAGCGAAAGGAGCCUCUUUCACUAUUGGAUUCUGCAGAGGAACUCUUCACCUAGGAGAGAGUCGGACACAGAGACUACGAAGCCCUGGCAGGGGAGGGUAAGAAGACUGCACUCCUCCCCAUCCCAGGGAACCUGGAGCAGCCCUCUGGAGAUGCCAGGUGCGCGUUAGCAUUUCUCAUGGGUUCACGCGAAAUCCUAAAUGGGAAAGGAAGCAGGAUGUAACCUGGUCAUCAUCCCAGGCCUCGGAGGGCCCUGGACCUGGGUGCUGGCAUGACCAAACAGUGCCCGCGGUGGCUGGACUCCCCACGCCCACGCUCACCACCCUCCGUGGGAUAUGAAAAAACCUCCUGCCGGCCAGAGGAGAGCCUGGCCCCUUUGGCCUUUACCUGGCCACCAUGUCUCCACUUUCCAAGGCACCAUCGUAGGUGGACGCAGCCUUGGUUUACCUAAGAUGAGAUUGAGUCAGAGAGCCGCAAGACAUCUUGGCCAGGGUUACAAAGUGAGCAGGAGAGACAAGACAACACUCUAGAAAGGUGGUGAGAGAUUCCCUGAGGACCCAUGCAGUGAUCUCCUUGCCAGCUCCUCCAGAAGAAUCAAAGCCUUCGGUGGCUCUCAGAUGCACAGGUGGCUCAGAGACUGAAAAGAGCAGCCUUGGAAGAGAGCCAUGCAGGGGACACCCCAGAGGCCCCUACCUCCAUCCAGCGACCACAGAUUCCCAUGGCGGUGGUACUGGUAGCACUUGGACCUGGCUAAAUGAUUUUUGAUUUAACCACACAGCGGAAUAUUAUGCAGUUAUUAAGAGUCAAUUAACCAUCCUUCUUUUCUCCACACUCAGUAUUAGAUUGAAACAGCGGAAGAAGCACUUCGGCAGUCAGGGUCCCCAGAGUGGAGCAUGAAGUCAGGUUAAAACACACCAGCAUGAAUAAUUAACUCUUGGUUGUGACAUUGUGAGUGACUGGCAUUGUUUUUCAAUUAUUUUCCCAUUCUCAAUGCAUCAAUACACUAUUCUUAUUGUAAAAAAAAAUAAACAUUUAUAAAGAGCCCUCUCUUACAUCAAGAGCGAUAACAUAAACUUCUGCAUAAGGAGGUUGGAAG